RNAcentral lists this unclassified non-coding RNA (345 nucleotides) under soil metagenome. RNAcentral's name for it is "partial contains 5.8S ribosomal RNA, internal transcribed spacer 2, and large subunit ribosomal RNA". The stretch from base 1 to 120 matches the Rfam family "5.8S ribosomal RNA", at positions 35 to 154 of the family's 154-position model. The record is from RNAcentral.
GAUGAAGAACGUAUCGAAAUGCGAUACGUAAUGUGAAUUGCAGAAUUCAGUGAAUCAUCGAGUCUUUGAACGCACAUUGCGCCCCCUGGUAUUCCGGGGGGCAUGCCUGUCCGAGCGUCAUUGCUGCCCUCAAGCACGGCUUGUGUGUUGGGCCUCCGUCCUCCUCUCGGGGGACGGGCCCGAAAGGCAGCGGCGGCACCGCGUCCGGUCCUCGAGCGUAUGGGGCUUCGUCACCCGCUCUUGUAGGCCCGGCCGGCGCUUGCCGACACAUCAAUCUUUUUUCCAGGUUGACCUCGGAUCAGGUAGGGAUACCCGCUGAACUUAAGCAUAUCAAUAAGCGGAGGA